RNAcentral lists this ribosomal RNA (490 nucleotides) under uncultured bacterium. RNAcentral describes it as "partial 16S ribosomal RNA". It matches the Rfam family "Bacterial small subunit ribosomal RNA", at positions 29 to 507 of the family's 1533-position model. The record is from RNAcentral.
GUGAACGCUGGCGGUAGGCCUAACACAUGCAAGUCGAACGGCAGCACAGUAAGAGCUCGCUCUUACGGGUGGCGAGUGGCGGACGGGUGAGGAAUACAUCGGAAUCUACUUUUUCGUGGGGGAUAACGUAGGGAAACUUACGCUAAUACCGCAUACGACCUACGGGUGAAAGCAGGGGAUCUUCGGACCUUGCGCGAUUGAAUGAGCCGAUGUCGGAUUAGCUAGUUGGCGGGGUAAAGGCCCACCAAGGCGACGAUCCGUAGCUGGUCUGAGAGGAUGAUCAGCCACACUGGAACUGAGACACGGUCCAGACUCCUACGGGAGGCAGCAGUGGGGAAUAUUGGACAAUGGGCGCAAGCCUGAUCCAGCCAUACCGCGUGGGUGAAGAAGGCCUUCGGGUUGUAAAGCCCUUUGUUGGGAAAGAAAAGCAGCAGGUUAAUACCCCGCUGUUCUGACGGUACCCAAAGAAUAAGCACCGGCUAACUUCGUG